CCUACGGGGGGCAGCAGUGGGGAAUAUUGCGCAAUGGGCGAAAGCCUGACGCAGCGACGCCGCGUGAGGGAUGAAGGUCUUCGGAUCGUAAACCUCUGUCAGCAGGGAAGAACGGUCACUGUGCUAAUCAGCAGUGAAUUGACGGUACCUGCAAACGAAGCACCGGCUAACUCCGUGCCAGCAGCCGCGGUAAUACGGAGGGUGCGAGCGUUAAUCGGAAUUACUGGGCGUAAAGCGCUCGUAGGCGGUAUGUCAAGUCAAGGGUGAAAUCCCCGCGCUCAACGUGGGAACUGCCUUUGAAACUGGCAAACUGGAGUGUGUGAGAGGAUAGUGGAAUUCCAGGUGUAGGAGUGAAAUGCGUAGAUAUCUGGAGGAACAUCAGUGGCGAAGGCGACUAUCUGGCACAUAACUGACGCUGAGGAGCGAAAGCGUGGGUAGCAAACAGGAUUAGAUACCCCAGUAGUC
RNAcentral lists this ribosomal RNA (465 nucleotides) under uncultured bacterium. RNAcentral's name for it is "partial 16S ribosomal RNA". It matches the Rfam family "Bacterial small subunit ribosomal RNA", at positions 338 to 795 of the family's 1533-position model. The record is from RNAcentral.